RNAcentral lists this transfer RNA (71 nucleotides) under Xylaria digitata. Its description in RNAcentral is "tRNA-Gly". It matches the Rfam family "tRNA". Rfam says of the family: Transfer RNA (tRNA) molecules are approximately 80 nucleotides in length. Their secondary structure includes four short double-helical elements and three loops (D, anti-codon, and T loops). Lineage: Eukaryota; Fungi; Ascomycota; Sordariomycetes; Xylariales; Xylariaceae. The record is from RNAcentral.
GCAUCAGUGGUUUAGUGGUAAAAUCCAUCGUUGCCAUCGAUGGGCCCCGUGUUCGAUUCACGGCUGACGCA